Molecule: ribosomal RNA, 237 nt
Filed under: uncultured bacterium
Lineage: Bacteria
Description: partial 16S ribosomal RNA
Rfam family: Bacterial small subunit ribosomal RNA
Source: RNAcentral
CGGCGGACGGGUGAGUAACGCGUGGGUAACCUGCCUCAUACAGGGGGAUAACAGUUGGAAACGGCUGCUAAUACCGCAUAAGCGCACAGUACCGCAUGGUACGGUGUGAAAAACUCCGGUGGUAUGAGAUGGACCCGCGUCUGAUUAGGUAGUUGGUGGGGUAACGGCCUACCAAGCCGACGAUCAGUAGCCGACCUGAGGGGUGACCGGCCACAUUGGGACUGAGACACGGCCCAA